RNAcentral lists this transfer RNA (89 nucleotides) under Thermoprotei archaeon. RNAcentral describes it as "tRNA-Ser". It matches the Rfam family "tRNA". Rfam says of the family: Transfer RNA (tRNA) molecules are approximately 80 nucleotides in length. Their secondary structure includes four short double-helical elements and three loops (D, anti-codon, and T loops). The record is from RNAcentral. Lineage: Archaea; Thermoproteati; Thermoproteota; Thermoprotei.
GCCGGGGUGCCCGAGAUAGGUCGAAGGGGUAGGCCUGGAGAGCCUAUGGUCCUUUACGGGCCUCGUGGGUUCAAGUCCCACCCCCGGCG